Molecule: ribosomal RNA, 436 nt
Filed under: Bacillus sp. PCSM59
Lineage: Bacteria; Bacillati; Bacillota; Bacilli; Caryophanales; Bacillaceae
Description: bacterial SSU rRNA
Rfam family: Bacterial small subunit ribosomal RNA
Source: RNAcentral
CCGGGGCUAAUACCGGAUGGUUGUUUGAACCGCAUGGUUCAAACAUAAAAGGUGGCUUCGGCUACCACUUACAGAUGGACCCGCGGCGCAUUAGCUAGUUGGUGAGGUAACGGCUCACCAAGGCAACGAUGCGUAGCCGACCUGAGAGGGUGAUCGGCCACACUGGGACUGAGACACGGCCCAGACUCCUACGGGAGGCAGCAGUAGGGAAUCUNNNGCAAUGGACGAAAGUCUGACGGAGCAACGCCGCGUGAGUGAUGAAGGUUUUCGGAUCGUAAAGCUCUGUUGUUAGGGAAGAACAAGUNNNGUUCGAAUAUGGCGUUACCUUGACGGUACCUAACCAGAAAGCCACGGCUAACUACGUGCCAGCAGCCGCGGUAAUACGUAGGUGGCAAGCGUUGUCCGGAAUUAUUGGGCGUAAAGGGCUCGCAGGCGG